AGGUCACAUGAAUAAGUUUCUCUUUUCACAAAUACACAGAUUAUAUACAUUUUAUUAUAUACAUAUUUUAUAUGUGAUUUGCGGCUGUGGCUGCAGGGGGGUAGAGAGGUGGACCUCUAACCAGUAGGUCGGUGGUUCUAUCUGCAUGCCAAACUGUCCUUGGGCAAGAUACUGAACCACAAAUUUCCCCUGCACAUAGAUGCACUGUAUGAAAUGGUUUUGUGAAUGUCAAA
Molecule: unclassified non-coding RNA, 233 nt
Filed under: Hevea brasiliensis (rubber tree)
Lineage: Eukaryota; Viridiplantae; Streptophyta; Magnoliopsida; Malpighiales; Euphorbiaceae
Source: RNAcentral